This is a non-coding RNA of Paramuricea clavata, 484 nucleotides long. NCBI's taxonomy places the organism in Eukaryota, Metazoa, Cnidaria, Anthozoa, Malacalcyonacea, Plexauridae. The record is from the annotation of a GenBank genome assembly.
CGAGCAGUGGCAGCAGACAUCAACUUUUAGGGGGGGGGGGCAGGGGGAAAGCUUGUGCAGGUUUUUAAUGUCCUGUGUACCAUUUGGACACCUAAACAGUGCCGUAGCAAGCUCGAUAAUUGGGGGGGGGGCUGAUAUUCAUAUAUUCGUGUUCUGUGUCAGGCCUGCAUAAUAUAGCGGACCGCGGGACCAUUGGUCCCAGAAAAUUUUUGAGGUUGGCAGAAAAAAAAUGGAGGGUAAAACUUAAAAGUCUCAAAAGAAAAAAAGUAAAGAGAAAGAAAAAAAGGAAGAAAAUGAGAAAAAAUGACAUAAUUGAAUAAAAAGCUGUAGGUAGUGAACUAUAGUGAUGUUUGCAACAUGCAAGUAAUACAAGUUUCCAAUAUACCGGUACAGGCGGCUCUCCAGCUGCCUGAUACUAUGGUCAAAGCCUGAUAUUAUGGCAGACAGCAGUCUAGCAGAUAUUAAGAUGAAAUCCUCUAUGCGG